GCCUGGGUGGCUCAGUCGGUUGAGCGUCUGACUUUGGCUCAGGUCAUGAAAUCUCAAUUCGUGAGUUCAAGCCCCGCAUCGGACU
RNAcentral lists this transfer RNA (85 nucleotides) under Felis catus (domestic cat). It matches the Rfam family "tRNA". Rfam says of the family: Transfer RNA (tRNA) molecules are approximately 80 nucleotides in length. Their secondary structure includes four short double-helical elements and three loops (D, anti-codon, and T loops). Lineage: Eukaryota; Metazoa; Chordata; Mammalia; Carnivora; Felidae. The record is from Rfam by way of RNAcentral.